GAAAUAGACUGUAUCUAAUGAAGAUAGUGCGCUCUAGUGUUGUAAAGGGCUCAAACAAAGUUGCAUUUAUCUUGGCUAGAAGGAAUUGAAAUUUGUUGACCUCAACAAAAAAUAAGAAAAACCUGAGAAAUCGUUGUUAAUUAUUUGUGUACAGAUUGUCGGAACAUGACAGAAACAAUAAAAACGCAGCGGCCAUAUCGGGAGGGGAGGAGGCACAGAAUUGUGUAUCACAUUAAGUGUGAGAUGAAAGAAAACAUAUGGAAAUGAGAGAAGGUCAGAAAUACAAGUAAAACGUGCUGAAGAAAAAACAAAUGUGAUUGUGUAUAAAAGAUGUGUGCAGUGAAAUCUCUUUUUCCGAAACAAACAAACAUCGAAGAAAAUGGGAAGAAGAAAAUGGAAAAUGAUUGUAAAACGACGACGACUAGAAAUCUGGAAAGAAAAUCAACACGUCCGCUCACCACGAAAGUUUCUUACGUUGUGACUCAAAACAUGCGAGUAAGAAAUAAACAAAGCAAACGACGAAAACUGAGACCGCGCGCGCACCAGAGAGCAUGCGCAUUUGAGCGCAUGGCGAGCGCGAGCGUGAGCAUUUAAGAGAGCAUCAUUGCCAAAGAGAAAUGAAGAAAUUUCAAUUUAUUUGAUUUUGUUCUCAGUUUUCUUGUUCUUGUUUACAAUAUUUGUCUUCCGAAUAUUUGCACGUUGUUUAUUUCCUUUAAUAUACAUACAUGUAUGUAUGCCUAGGUACAGAUAUUUUAUACGAACAUUGAGGUUAUACUAAUUAAAAAACAAAAUAUUUUCGUCAUAUAUUCACUUGGUCAAUAUACAGGUGAUCGUGCGAUGCGAGCAAUUAAUAUGCAUAAUUAUAAGCUAAUUGUUAAUGUAUUUCCAUUCAGUGGGUUUCUGGCCGUGUGUUUAGUAAUCGAAUCAAGUCGAAAAUGUUUUAAUUAUUUAUAACCACAUAUACACACACAUAUAUAAAUUUGUUUAUACAUGUGGGAUUUUGGCGUGGGCGUCGAUUGACUUGUUAAUCAUCUGCGAUAAAAGCGAAUACAAUCGCUUAUCGAUUAGCUAAUAGAAGGUGGGCUGCCCCUAGAAACCAGUCGACCCAAACUUCAAUUAACCAACACUGCUCAGCUGCAGCGCUACAUUUCCGUUAAACAAAAUUAAAAAAAAGCAACUCUUAUUUGCCUACAUAAAUUAGCAGGCCACGACUUAAGAAGAGAGCCGGCGAGCAAGAGAGAGAGAGAGAGGGAGAGAGAGAGGGGGCGACAGGUUGCCAUAAAAAGUAGCUAAAGAUGCGCUCAGUUGCGUUGCACUGCAUCCGCUUGACUUUUGCGCUGGGGAUUUUUCUUUUUUCCUUACUUUGUUUUGUUUUUCUUAUUUCAUUUUAAAAGUUCGUUAACCAGUUUCCCUAAACAUCGUUGACAUUUGAAGUCAAAUGCCCAUAAACGGCGUCGAUCGCUCAGACGCCCCCCCUCGCUUACUCUCCCUCUCCCUCUCUCUCUCUCUCUCUC
Molecule: long non-coding RNA, 1514 nt
Organism: Drosophila virilis
Lineage: Eukaryota; Metazoa; Arthropoda; Insecta; Diptera; Drosophilidae
Source: RefSeq, a predicted model, not a curated record